UACGUAGGGUGCAAGCGUUGUCCGGAAUUGUUGGGCGUAAAGAGCGUGUAGGCGGCCCGGUAAGUCCGCUGUGAAAGUCGGGGGCUCAACCCUCGAAUGCCGGUGGAUACUGUCGGGCUAGAGUGCGGAAGAGGCGAGUGGAAUUCCUGGUGUAGCGGUGAAAUGCGCAGAUAUCAGGAGGAACACCGAUUGCGAAGGCAGCUCGCUGGGACGUAACUGACGCUGAGACGCGAAAGCGUGGGGAGCAAACAGG
RNAcentral lists this ribosomal RNA (253 nucleotides) under uncultured bacterium. Its description in RNAcentral is "partial 16S ribosomal RNA". It matches the Rfam family "Bacterial small subunit ribosomal RNA", at positions 524 to 776 of the family's 1533-position model. The record is from RNAcentral.